This 217-nucleotide ribosomal RNA is filed under the name uncultured bacterium. RNAcentral describes it as "partial 16S ribosomal RNA". It matches the Rfam family "Bacterial small subunit ribosomal RNA", at positions 923 to 1148 of the family's 1533-position model. The record is from RNAcentral.
GCACAAGCAGUGGAGUAUGUGGUUUAAUUCGACGCAACGCGAAGAACCUUACCAAGUCUUGACAUCCUGCGACGAUGCUAGAAAUAGUAUUUUCCUUCGGGACGCAGAGACAGGUGGUGCAUGGUUGUCGUCAGCUCGUGUCGUGAGAUGUUGGGUUAAGUCCCGCAACGAGCGCAACCCUUAUGGUCAGUUACUACGCAAGAGGACUCUGGCCAGA